Molecule: unclassified non-coding RNA, 260 nt
Filed under: Hevea brasiliensis (rubber tree)
Lineage: Eukaryota; Viridiplantae; Streptophyta; Magnoliopsida; Malpighiales; Euphorbiaceae
Source: RNAcentral
AGUGCACCGUAAUGACCACAUGCUGGUUUAGAUAAAGGAUGAAAUUUGGUGAAGAGAUAAGAAUUGGAUUAUUAAAGCUGAUCUCUAAAAUCCACUGGGAUAAAACACUUUGAAGCAAAUAAAUAAAAGAUUUGUUCAUUUGAAAAUGAAUUCUCAUGCUUCGUCUGCAUAUGUGCAUUAUCUAUAAUUCAGUUGAACAUAUAAAACAGAGCCAACAGGACAGAGGGGGAGAGACUAAGGAGAGCUGAUAGGCUUGGGAG